CCUACGGGAGGCAGCAGUGGGGAAUAUUGGGCAAUGGGCGCAAGCCUGACCCAGCAACGCCGCGUGAGUGAUGAAGGUCUUCGGAUCGUAAACCUCUGUCAGCAGGGAAGAACGGUCACUGUGCUAAUCAGCAGUGAAUUGACGGUUCCUGCAAAGGAAGCACCGGCUAACUCCGUGCAAGCAGCCGCGGUAAUACGGAGGGUGCGAGCGUUAAUCGGAAUUACUGGGCGUAAAGCGCUCGUAGGCGGUAUGUCAAGUCAAGGGUGAAAUCCCCGCGCUUAACGUGGGAACUGCCUUUGAAACUGGCAAACUGGAGUGUGUGAGAGGAUAGUGGAAUUCCAGGUGUAGGAGUGAAAUCCGUAGAUAUCUGGAGGAACAUCAGUGGCGAAGGCGACUAUCUGGCACAUAACUGACGCUGAGGAGCGAAAGCGUGGGUAGCAAACAGGAUUAGAUACCCCAGUAGUC
Molecule: ribosomal RNA, 465 nt
Filed under: uncultured bacterium
Lineage: Bacteria
Description: partial 16S ribosomal RNA
Rfam family: Bacterial small subunit ribosomal RNA
Source: RNAcentral